This 496-nucleotide ribosomal RNA is filed under the name uncultured Streptococcaceae bacterium. RNAcentral describes it as "bacterial SSU rRNA". It matches the Rfam family "Bacterial small subunit ribosomal RNA", at positions 59 to 507 of the family's 1533-position model. The record is from RNAcentral. Lineage: Bacteria; Bacillati; Bacillota; Bacilli; Lactobacillales; Streptococcaceae.
AAGUAGAAAGACGUGUAAGGAGGGAGGACGUUGUCUCGUUCUUGGAGUGAAGUUAGGCGAACGGGGUAGGAGUAACGGACGUAGGUAAACCGUUCGCCCGGGUACGCGGGGGAGUAACGUAAUUGGUAAACGAUAGCUAAUACCGACAUAAGAGUAGAUGUUGUCAUGACAUUUGCUUAAAAGGUAGCAAUUGCAUCACUACCAGAUGGACCUGCGUUGUAUUAGCUAGUUGGUGGGGUAACGGCUCACCAAGGCGACGAUACAUAGCCGACCUGAGAGGGUGAUCGGCCACACUGGGACUGAGACACGGCCCAGACUCCUACGGGAGGCAGCAGUAGGGAAUCUUCGGCAAUGGACGGAAGUCUGACCGAGCAACGCCGCGUGAGUGAAGAAGGUUUUCGGAUCGUAAAGCUCUGUUGUAAGAGAAGAACGAGUGUGAGAGUGGAAAGUUCACACUGUGACGGUGUCUUACCAGAAAGGGACGGCUAACUACGUG